Molecule: long non-coding RNA, 209 nt
Filed under: Mytilus galloprovincialis (Mediterranean mussel)
Lineage: Eukaryota; Metazoa; Mollusca; Bivalvia; Mytilida; Mytilidae
Source: RNAcentral
GUUUUGUCUAAAUCCAGCUUGGUUGUCACGAAGCUUUUCAUCUAUUGCAUUUUUGAGUCGGUCUAACAUAACUCUAUUUAAAACUUUCCCUGGAACUGAUAGUAGCAUUAUUCCUCUAUAGUUGUCACAAAUGCUUAAAUUGCCCUUCUUUGGAAGCUUUACCAUGUGUCCUUCUUUCCAUUCUAGCGGGACCUCUUCUUCUUCCCAGA